Long non-coding RNA from Drosophila subpulchrella, 608 nucleotides. RefSeq lists it as uncharacterized. The transcript is spliced from 2 exons. NCBI's taxonomy places the organism in Eukaryota, Metazoa, Arthropoda, Insecta, Diptera, Drosophilidae. The record is from RefSeq and is a predicted model, not a curated record.
GUAAACGUUAUACAGCCAUAUUGGCCUUUAGGCUAGGCGAGGAUGGACCAUGGAUCAUCUCUUGUUAUAUCUGACGUUCUAAGUUUAAAAAGUCCGGAUCCUUGUGUGUGGAUGGAAAAUAUGAACAAAAACCAUGUAGCUUUUGAACAAUUUUAAAAAUUGAAUUUGAAUUGCUUACUACUUAAAAACUGAAGCAACAUUUUCAAGCUGAAAACUAUGGAUCCUUAAAAUAGAAGCAUUAAUGUAAACACAUCAUUUUAAAAUUCUAAUUUGCUAAAUCCUAUGGCAAUAAAAUAUGAACCGCCAACUUUGAUCCUUUGUUCCCGAUAGGAAGGGCAAUUUCAAUGGCGGAAAAGCCCUAGGCACUGACACAUACUUAUCAUCAUCCUUGAUUGCUGGUAUUCAUCCAUCGCACACAAAACCCUUAUCUCAGCUGCGAUUUUCACAGACAAAGGAAUUGUGCACAAGGAUCUAUAAAGCCACCAAGUGCCUGACGAAGGGUUGAUGAAGUGGCCAUAAGUAAAAGCUAUAAACUAUCCAAAGUAGCCAAAAAGCGAUAAGUACUGGACCACACUGCGUGUACUUACUCUGGCGCUUUUCCUUGCCCU